This 465-nucleotide ribosomal RNA is filed under the name uncultured bacterium. Its description in RNAcentral is "partial 16S ribosomal RNA". It matches the Rfam family "Bacterial small subunit ribosomal RNA", at positions 28 to 507 of the family's 1533-position model. The record is from RNAcentral.
GACGAACGCUGGCGGCGUGCUUAACACAUGCAAGUCGAACGGAAAGGCCCCUUUGGGGGUACUCGAGUGGCGAACGGGUGAGUAACACGUGAGUAACCUGCCCUUGACUUCGGGAUAACUUCAGGAAACUGGGGCUAAUACCGGAUAGGAAUCCUUGCUGCAUGGUGGGGGUUGGAAAGCUUCGGCGGUUUUGGAUGGACUCGCGGCUUAUCAGCUUGUUGGUGGGGUAGUGGCUUACCAAGGCUUUGACGGGUAGCCGGCCUGAGAGGGCGACCGGCCACAUUGGGACUGAGAGACGGCCCAGACUCCUACGGGAGGCAGCAGGGGGGAAGAUUGCACAAUGGGCGGAAGCCUGAUGCAGCAACGCCGCGUGCGGGAUGACGGCCUUCGGGUUGAAAACCGCUUUCAGCAGGGGCGAAGCUUGUGGUGACGGUACCUGCAGAAGAAGCACCGGCUAACUACGUG